GAUGAACGCUGACAGAACGCUUAACACAUGCAAGUCAACUUGAAGCAGUUUCGGCUGUGGAUGGUGGCGGACGGGUGAGUAACGCGUAAAUAACUUGCCCUUUAGACUGGGACAACUGUUGGAAACGACAGCUAAUACCGGAUAUUAUGAAACCUUGGCAUCUAGGGAUUAUGAAAGCUAUAUGCGCUAGAGGAGAGAUUUGCGUCCUAUUAGCUAGUUGGUGAGGUAAUGGCUCACCAAGGCGACGAUAGGUAGCCGGCCUGAGAGGGUGAACGGCCACAAGGGGACUGAGACACGGCCCUUACUCCUACGGGAGGCAGCAGUGGGGAAUAUUGGACAAUGGACCAAGAGUCUGAUCCAGCAAUUCUGUGUGUUUGAUGAAGGCCUUCGGGUUGUAAAGAACUUUAAGUAGGGAAGAAGAAAGUGACGGUACCUACAGAAUAAGCGACGGCUAAAUACGUGCCAGCAGCCGCGGUAA
RNAcentral lists this ribosomal RNA (478 nucleotides) under uncultured bacterium. Its description in RNAcentral is "partial 16S ribosomal RNA". It matches the Rfam family "Bacterial small subunit ribosomal RNA", at positions 28 to 523 of the family's 1533-position model. The record is from RNAcentral.